UGGGGAAUAUUGCACAAUGGGCGAAAGCCUGAUGCAGCGACGCCGCGUGAGGGAUGACGGCCUUCGGGUUGNAAACCUCUUUCAGCAGGGAAGAAGCGAAAGUACGGUACCUGCAGAGGAAGCGCCGGCUAACUACGUGCCAGCAGCCGCGGUAAUACGUAGGGCGCAAGCGUUGUCCGGAAUUAUUGGGCGUAAAGAGCUCGUAGGCGGUUAGUCGCGUCUGCUGUGAAAAACUCGAGGCUCAACCUCGGGCUUGCAGUGGGUACGGGCUGACUAGAUGCGGUAGGGGUGACUGGAAUUCCUGGUGUGGCGGUGGAAUGCGCAGAUAUCAGGAGGAACACCGAUGGCGAAGGCAGGUCACUGGGCCGCAACUGACGCUGAGGAGC
RNAcentral lists this ribosomal RNA (386 nucleotides) under uncultured bacterium. RNAcentral's name for it is "partial 16S ribosomal RNA". It matches the Rfam family "Bacterial small subunit ribosomal RNA", at positions 355 to 754 of the family's 1533-position model. The record is from RNAcentral.